CAGAUCAGAAGGUGAUUGUGGCUUUGAGUAAAUAUUAAGCAGCCACAGCACUGCCUGGUCAGAA
This 64-nucleotide microRNA precursor is filed under the name Taeniopygia guttata (zebra finch). RNAcentral's name for it is "Tgu-Mir-383-v2_pre stem-loop". It matches the Rfam family "mir-383 microRNA precursor family", at positions 6 to 69 of the family's 73-position model. Lineage: Eukaryota; Metazoa; Chordata; Aves; Passeriformes; Estrildidae. The record is from RNAcentral.